UGGGGAAUAUUGCACAAUGGGCGCAAGCCUGAUGCAGCGACGCCGCGUGGGGGAUGACGGCCUUCGGGUUGUAAACUCCUUUCGCCAGGGACGAAGCGUUUUGUGACGGUACCUGGAGAAGAAGCACCGGCUAGCUACGUGCCAGCAGCCGCGGUAAUACGUAGGGUGCAAGCGUUGUCCGGAAUUACUGGGCGUAAAGAGCUCGUAGGUGGUUUGUCACGUCGUCUGUGAAAUUCCACAGCUUAACUGUGGGCGUGCAGGCGAUACGGGCUGACUUGAGUACUGUAGGGGUAACUGGAAUUCCUGGUGUAGCGGUGAAAUGCGCAGAUAUCAGGAGGAACACCGAUGGCGAAGGCAGGUUACUGGGCAGUUACUGACGCUGAGGAGCGAAAGCAUGGGUAGCAAACAGGAUUAGAUACCCUGGUAGUCCAUGCCGUAAACGGUGGGCGCUAGGUGUAGGGGCCUUUUGGGGUUUCUGUGCCGUAGCUAACGCAUUAAGCGCCCCGCCUGGGGAGUACGGCCGCAAGGCUA
This 531-nucleotide ribosomal RNA is filed under the name uncultured bacterium. RNAcentral describes it as "bacterial SSU rRNA". It matches the Rfam family "Bacterial small subunit ribosomal RNA", at positions 355 to 896 of the family's 1533-position model. The record is from RNAcentral.